RNAcentral lists this unclassified non-coding RNA (256 nucleotides) under uncultured fungus. Its description in RNAcentral is "partial contains small subunit ribosomal RNA, internal transcribed spacer 1, and 5.8S ribosomal RNA". The stretch from base 1 to 73 matches the Rfam family "Eukaryotic small subunit ribosomal RNA", at positions 1759 to 1831 of the family's 1831-position model. The record is from RNAcentral. Lineage: Eukaryota; Fungi.
UCAAACUUGGUCAUUUAGAGGAAGUAAAAGUCGUAACAAGGUUUCCGUAGGUGAACCUGCGGAAGGAUCAUUUAUGAGCGAGGGAUUAGUCUUUGGACUAAUGCCCGAGCGUAAUAUAUCCAAUUACAUUGUGAAUUGUUUAGUUGGCUUGUAAGCCAUUUUACAUAACUCUGUGUAAUGAACGUAUACUAUUAUAAAAUAUAAUAAAACUUUCAACAACGGAUCUCUUGGCUCUCGCAUCGAUGAAGAACGCAGC